UUGAACUUGAGUUUUUGUUGUAUUUGAACUUGAGUUUGUUUUUUGUUUUUGAACUUGUGUUUGUGUCGUGUUUGAACAUGAGUUUGUGGCGUUUGUUGAACUUGAGUUUGUGUAGUGUUUGAACUUGAGUUUGUGGUGUUGUUGAACUUGAGGGUUUGGAAUUAUUUAAACAUGAGAAUCAGGUGUUUGUUGAACUUGAGUUUGUGUGUUUGUUGAACUUGAGUU
Xyrichtys novacula (pearly razorfish) is the source of this 225-nucleotide non-coding RNA. The record is from the annotation of a GenBank genome assembly. NCBI's taxonomy places the organism in Eukaryota, Metazoa, Chordata, Actinopteri, Labriformes, Labridae.